GUUCGGAUUGAAAGCUGAAAUUCGCCUUCAUGAAGCCGGAAUUGCUAGUAAUGGCAGGUCAGCAUACUGCCGUGAAUACGUUCCCGGGCCUUGUACACACCGCCCGUCACACCAUGAGAGUUGGGAAUACCCGAAGCCUGUGAGCUAACUUUACGAGGCAGCAGUCGAAGGUAGAAUCAAUGAUUGGGGUGAAGUCGUAACAAGGUAUC
RNAcentral lists this ribosomal RNA (209 nucleotides) under uncultured bacterium. Its description in RNAcentral is "partial 16S ribosomal RNA". It matches the Rfam family "Bacterial small subunit ribosomal RNA", at positions 1291 to 1500 of the family's 1533-position model. The record is from RNAcentral.